GCAGUGGUGGUUCAGUGGUAGAAUUCUCACCUUCUGUGUGGGAGAUCUGGGUUCGACUCCUGACCAAAGUA
Loxodonta africana (African savanna elephant) is the source of this 71-nucleotide transfer RNA. It matches the Rfam family "tRNA". Rfam says of the family: Transfer RNA (tRNA) molecules are approximately 80 nucleotides in length. The record is from Rfam. NCBI's taxonomy places the organism in Eukaryota, Metazoa, Chordata, Mammalia, Proboscidea, Elephantidae.